This 415-nucleotide ribosomal RNA is filed under the name uncultured bacterium. RNAcentral describes it as "bacterial SSU rRNA". It matches the Rfam family "Bacterial small subunit ribosomal RNA", at positions 355 to 786 of the family's 1533-position model. The record is from RNAcentral.
UGAGGGAUAUUGGGCAAUGGGGGAAACCCUGACCCAGCGACGCCGCGUGAGGGAAGACGGUCUUCGGAUUGUAAACCUCUGUCUUUGGGGACGAAGAAGGACGGUACCCAAGGACGAAGCUCCGGCUAACUACGUGCCAGCAGCCGCGGUAAUACGUAGGGAGCGAGCGUUGUCCGGAAUUACUGGGUGUAAAGGGAGCGUAGGCGGGAUUGCAAGUUGGAUGUGAAAACUGCGGGCUCAACCCGGAGAGUGCAUUCAAAACUGCGAUUCUUGAGUGAAGUAGAGGCAAGCGGAAUUCCUAGUGUAGCGGUGAAAUGCGUAGAUAUUAGGAGGAACACCAGUGGCGAAGGCGGCUUGCUGGGCUUUUACUGACGCUGAGGCUCGAAAGUGUGGGGAGCAAACAGGAUUAGAUACC